RNAcentral lists this transfer RNA (85 nucleotides) under Alphaproteobacteria bacterium CG_4_10_14_0_8_um_filter_53_9. Its description in RNAcentral is "tRNA-Tyr". It matches the Rfam family "tRNA". Rfam says of the family: Transfer RNA (tRNA) molecules are approximately 80 nucleotides in length. Lineage: Bacteria; Pseudomonadati; Pseudomonadota; Alphaproteobacteria. The record is from RNAcentral.
GGUGGGAUACCCAAGUGGCCAACGGGGGCUGACUGUAAAUCAGCUGGCUUCGCCUUCGUAAGUUCGAAUCUUACUCCCACCACCA